UGCCCAGACUCCUACGGGAGGCAGCAGUGGGGAAUAUUGCGCAAUGGGGGCAACCCUGACGCAGCAACGCCGCGUGAUUGAAGAAGGCCUUCGGGUUGUAAAGAUCUUUAAUCAGGGACGAAAAAUGACGGUACCUGAAGAAUAAGCUCCGGCUAACUACGUGCCAGCAGCCGCGGUAAUACGUAGGGAGCAAGCGUUAUCCGGAUUUACUGGGUGUAAAGGGCGUGUAGGCGGGCCUGUAAGUCAGAAGUGAAAUCUGGGGGCUUAACCCCCAAACUGCUUUUGAAACUGCGGGUCUUGAGUGCUGGAGAGGCAAUCGGAAUUCCGUGUGUAGCGGUGAAAUGCGUAGAUAUACGGAGGAACACCAGUGGCGAAGGCGGAUUGCUGGACAGUAACUGACGCUGAGGUUCGAAAGCGUGGGUAGCAAACAGGAUUAGAUACCCUAGUAA
This 449-nucleotide ribosomal RNA is filed under the name uncultured bacterium. RNAcentral describes it as "bacterial SSU rRNA". It matches the Rfam family "Bacterial small subunit ribosomal RNA", at positions 328 to 793 of the family's 1533-position model. The record is from RNAcentral.